AGUGAACGCUGGCGGUAGGCCUAACACAUGCAAGUCGAACGGCAGCACAGUAAGAGCUUGCUCUUACGGGUGGCGAGUGGCGGACGGGUGAGGAAUACAUCGGAAUCUACUUUUUCGUGGGGGAUAACGUAGGGAAACUUACGCUAAUACCGCAUACGACCUACGGGUGAAAGCAGGGGAUCUUCGGACCUUGCGCGAUUGAAUGAGCCGAUGUCGGAUUAGCUAGUUGGCGGGGUAAAGGCCCACCAAGGCGACGAUCCGUAGCUGGUCUGAGAGGAUGAUCAGCCACACUGGAACUGAGACACGGUCCAGACUCCUAUGGGAGGCAGCAGUGGGGAAUAUUGGACAAUGGGCGCAAGCCUGAUCCAGCCAUACCGCGUGGGUGAAGAAGGCCUUCGGGUUGUAAAGCCCUUUUGUUGGGAAAGAAAAGCAGCAGGUUAAUACCCCGCUGUUCUGACGGUACCCAAAGAAUAAGCACCGGCUAACUUCGCG
This 492-nucleotide ribosomal RNA is filed under the name uncultured bacterium. RNAcentral describes it as "partial 16S ribosomal RNA". It matches the Rfam family "Bacterial small subunit ribosomal RNA", at positions 29 to 507 of the family's 1533-position model. The record is from RNAcentral.